Molecule: ribosomal RNA, 313 nt
Filed under: uncultured bacterium
Lineage: Bacteria
Description: bacterial SSU rRNA
Rfam family: Bacterial small subunit ribosomal RNA
Source: RNAcentral
ACUUUGGGGAGGCAUCUCCUGAAGUUGAAAGUCCGGCGGUUUGAGAUGGACAUGCGUUGUAUUAGCUAGUUGGUGAGGUAACGGCCCACCAAGGCGACGAUCAGUAGCCGGCCUGAGAGGGUGAACGGCCACAUUGGGACUGAGACACGGCCCAAACUCCUACGGGGAGGCAGCAGGUGGGGGAAUAUUGCACAAUGGGGGAAACCCUGAUGCAGCGACGCCGCGUGAGUGAAGAAGUAUUUCGGUAUGUAAAGCUCUAUCAGCAGGGAAGAAAAUGACGGUACCUGACUAAGAAGCCCCGGCUAACUACGUG